This is a long non-coding RNA of Uloborus diversus, 1978 nucleotides long. RefSeq lists it as uncharacterized. NCBI's taxonomy places the organism in Eukaryota, Metazoa, Arthropoda, Arachnida, Araneae, Uloboridae. The transcript is spliced from 3 exons. The record is from RefSeq and is a predicted model, not a curated record.
UGUAUUUCACCGCUUCUUGCAUCAAAUGACAAGCAUGUGGAGGAAUGGCAAAAUAUUUCUCUUAGAUCCUUGGAAAAGAAAGAAAGCAUGAGAAAUGUUGCAGAAACAGCGGAUCCUCAAAGAUGCAAGAACAACUCCUACAAUUUAUGUUGCAAACAAUUAUUGUGAAAAUGCACAUGAUUGAAAUCCCUCCUAAGGAAUAACGAAGAUAACUUGAUUGGAAUUUGUUGAAACUGAUGAAGUCUGCUGUUGUAAUUAAAUAGAAUUAAAACAAUUGUGAUCCAAAUCUCAAACGGAGGAAAAGACUUCCAACUUCUCAGCACAGACAACUAACAGAAGUGUACUUGAAGGACAAUGAAUUGUACUUAGUUUUUCAAAGAUGUCGAAACCCAAGUCAGUUUGCUGUACACAUUGCCAGAAUGUUAUUCACCCCAGAAGAAUUACGUGAUUCAAACUGUAGAGGUGUUAAAGACAAAAGUCCUCUUGACAGGCAACGGUUGGAAUUUAUUAGAAAUUCUGUUGUAAAGUAUUAUAAUGUGUUGCCUGUGUAUGAAAUGGAAGUUUGGAAACAAUGCAUGCAAAGCAUUGAUUCUCGCUGCAGGCAUGAAAGAAGGCCAAAAUUCAGAACACUUUUAACGUCCGUAAGUUGUAGUGAUGACAACUGAUUUACCAUGUGUGUAUAUCAUCCCAGUUUGUCUCUGUAAAUAUAGUGCAUUUUAACAUUGAAAACAAUUUUAAGGAAAAUAUCAUUUAACCAAUAUGAAAGUAAAAACAUUGUUGCCAUUGAUAUUAACAAAAGAUAGUUUAGACUUAAGUUUCAUAAGUUCAUAUCUUGCAGCAUAUUCAACAUUUGUCCCAUGUUUUUGAAAGUUAACGUGUAGUUUCUCUUGAUAAAUGUUUUUCCCACAUGACUUGAUGCUAUAUUAAUUCAAGUUGCAUUUAUGUCCACAUUUAUCAAUAUUUUUUUGCUUUUAUUGGAUAAAUUCCUUUAUAAAAAUUUUUUUAAUGACUUUUAUUUUUCAUGUUUUCUUCAGCCUAUCUUGAAGCCAAUGUAAAAUUAUUUAACUGAGCAAAGCUUUUGAAAUAUCUUUAUUUCUUCUCAUUAUAACUAUAAAUCCUAAGUAUUUUGGGGGGAAACAGUUUUAUUAAAUUGUACUGAUUUGUGUAGCAUGUUUAUAACCUGAAGUUUUAUAUCAAAGAAUUUUUUCAGAUUGCUAUUUUACAAUAGUGUCGAACUAAAAUUUUUGUGGUUAGCUAUACCUCUAACACUUUUUUUCAGUGCCCUCUUAAUCAGCUUUUUGUUCUUACUAUUUAUUGAUUUAUUUUAUUUAUUUGCAUGUUUUUUAAACUCAGUUUUAAAUUUUCUAUUCAGUUCAUCAACAAAAUUUUGUUUUUACAAAACUUUUUUAAAGCAUGAUUACUGUUUAACUUGUAAUACAUUUUAAAUUUAAAAUGUAGUGAAAAAUAUAAAUCUUCAGUUUAUGAUUUUAAUCGGUAAAGUUUCAAAAAGCAUUAUAUUGUACAUUUUUGAAUGUUCCAGAGUUUCGCCUCUUCUAGUCGAAUUUAAUUGCCUCCUUUCAAUUUUUAUUUCUUGUUUUUUAUUAUAUAGAAAUUUGAAAUUAUCUCUUUGUUUUGUAUAAUUUUUAAUGCAUGUUGGUUUGCAUCAAGUCUUUUGUUUCUUUGUAUUUUCUCAAUAUAUUAAUUUUCAUUUAACUUAAGCUAAGGGUUCACUCACUUUAGAUACACUGAACUCUAAAAAAAAUUAAACAAAUUUCUCAGUUUCUCUCAGGAUAUUUUCAUUAUCAUGUGUGUUGUCAUGAAACAAAUACUAAUUACUUCUGAAUUUGUGUGUACAUUUUCAGAUCAAUUGAUUUUGCUGUUAAUGUUAUUUUUAAAAAAUUAAAAAUGCUUGAAAUGCUGUUAUUAAUGUUCUUUUUUUGUUAAAAUUACAUUUUACAUGCAAGAAAAUUUACUAUUA